Molecule: ribosomal RNA, 550 nt
Filed under: uncultured bacterium
Lineage: Bacteria
Description: bacterial SSU rRNA
Rfam family: Bacterial small subunit ribosomal RNA
Source: RNAcentral
CAGGGAAUCUUCGGCAAUGGACGGAAGUCUGACCGAGCAACGCCGCGUGAGUGAAGAAGGUUUUCGGAUCGUAAAGCUCUGUUGUAAGAGAAGAACGAGUGUGAGAGUGGAAAGUUCACACUGUGACGGUAUCUUACCAGAAAGGGACGGCUAACUACGUGCCAGCAGCCGCGGUAAUACGUAGGUCCCGAGCGUUGUCCGGAUUUAUUGGGCGUAAAGCGAGCGCAGGCGGUUAGAUAAGUCUGAAGUUAAAGGCUGUGGCUUAACCAUAGUACGCUUUGGAAACUGUUUAACUUGAGUGCAAGAGGGGAGAGUGGGAUUCCAUGUGUAGCGGUGAAAUGCGUAGAUAUAUGGAGGAACACCGGUGGCGAAAGCGGCUCUCUGGCUUGUAACUGACGCUGAGGCUCGAAAGCGUGGGGAGCAAACAGGAUUAGAUACCCUGGUAGUCCACGCCGUAAACGAUGAGUGCUAGGUGUUAGACCCUUUCCGGGGUUUAGUGCCGCAGCUAACGCAUUAAGCACUCCGCCUGGGGAGUACGACCGCAAGGUUG